CAUCCAGACUCCUACGGGAGGCAGCAGUGGGGAAUAUUGCGCAAUGGGCGAAAGCCUGACGCAGCGACGCCGCGUGAGGGAUGAAGGUCUUCGGAUCGUAAACCUCUGUCAGCAGGGAAGAACGGUCACUGUGCUAAUCAGCAGUGAAUUGACGGUACCUGCAAAGGAAGCACCGGCUAACUCCGUGCCAGCAGCCGCGGUAAUACGGAGGGUGCGAGCGUUAAUCGGAAUUACUGGGCGUAAAGCGCUCGUAGGCGGUAUGUCAAGUCAAGGGUGAAAUCCCCGCGCUCAACGUGGGAACUGCCUUUGAAACUGUUUUUCUUGAGUACCGGAGAGGUCAUCGGAAUUCCUUGUGUAGCGGUGAAAUGCGUAGAUAUAAGGAAGAACACCAGUGGCGAAGGCGGAUGACUGGACGGCAACUGACGGUGAGGCGCGAAAGCGUGGGGAGCAAACAGGAUUAGAUACCCCGGUACC
Molecule: ribosomal RNA, 474 nt
Filed under: uncultured bacterium
Lineage: Bacteria
Description: bacterial SSU rRNA
Rfam family: Bacterial small subunit ribosomal RNA
Source: RNAcentral